This 1050-nucleotide ribosomal RNA is filed under the name Triticum aestivum (bread wheat). Its description in RNAcentral is "partial small subunit ribosomal RNA". Lineage: Eukaryota; Viridiplantae; Streptophyta; Magnoliopsida; Poales; Poaceae. The record is from RNAcentral.
AUGGCCUCCACGUCGUCGUCUCCGCUCUCUCUUGUCCUCCUCCGGCCGCUCCCAUGCAGAUCCCUCCUCCUCUCCAAGCACGGGAGGCCAUUUCCCACCCCAAGAACCGGCCGCCUGGCAGCGUCAGCCGCAGCAGGAGCUCAGCAGCGGUUGCUGCGGCCGCCGGAGACCGGCCGCUGGAGCAGGAGCUCGAGGAGCGGCAGAGACUUCGCGUGCUUAUCCUACAACAACCCGCCACCGCCUUCCAGUAAGGAUUCGAACGAGUGGCCCGUCCUUCGCCGAUGGGAUGUGCCAUGGGAGUGGCAAACUGUUGUCCUCAGCAUGGUGGGCUGUGGAGUAAGCUUUGCUCUGACAGGAUUGGUUGAGCAGUCGAUACUGCAAUACGUAGGGUUUUCAGCCGCGGGGGCAACUAUAGAUGAGAAGGCAGAAAUACUGUUCCUCGGACAACUUAGCGUGACUGCUGUUGUGCUUGGUGUUAUAUUUAGCAUCACCAAUACCUUCCGACCAUUCCCUGAGGAUGUCUUCUGUUACGAUGUCAAAGAACCAUUCAAGCUGCAAAAUGGCUGGCUUCUGUGGGCUGGUAUUGGCCUCUUUGGUGCAGUCAUUUCCAUUGCUUUAGUUGGAGCUGCCAUGACCUAUCUGAAUGGUGCACCUCCAGAGAGAGAGAAGGACUCGCUGGUCCUUUUACUGCCACUAAUUGGCUCAUCAACUCUCAGCACUGCCUAUUUGGUGGGGAUUACUGGAGUUCUAGCACCAAUUCUGGAGGAGACUGUGUUCCGAGGAUUUCUAAUGGUGUCCUUGACUAAGUGGUUUCCUACUCCAGUCUGCGUGAUUCUCAGUGCUGCUGUAUUUGCCUUCGCCCAUUUGACACCUGAUCAAUUCCCACAACUGUUUGUACUUGGUGUUGCACUGGGGUUUACAUAUGCUCAAACUCGCAAUCUUCUAGCUCCUAUUACAAUACAUGCAUUUUGGAACUCGGGAGUUAUACUACUGCUAACCUUUCUUCAGUUGCAAGGGUACGAUAUCAAGGAGCUAUUGGGGGCGUCUUGA